UACGUAGGUGGCAAGCGUUGUCCGGAAUUAUUGGGCGUAAAGCGCGCGCAGGCGGCCUUUUAAGUCUGAUGUGAAAGCCCACGGCUCAACCGUGGAAGGUCAUUGGAAACUGAAAGGCUUGAGUACAGAAGAGGAAAGCGGAAUUCCACGUGUAGCGGUGAAAUGCGUAGAGAUGUGGAGGAACACCAGUGGCGAAGGCGGCUCACUGGCCCGAUACUGACGCUGAGGCACGAAAGCGUGGGGAGCAAACAGG
RNAcentral lists this ribosomal RNA (253 nucleotides) under uncultured bacterium. RNAcentral's name for it is "partial 16S ribosomal RNA". It matches the Rfam family "Bacterial small subunit ribosomal RNA", at positions 524 to 776 of the family's 1533-position model. The record is from RNAcentral.